AUUGAACGCUGGCGGCAUGCCUUACACAUGCAAGCCGAACGGCAGCACGGGAGCAAUCCUGGUGGCGAGUGGCGAACGGGUGAGUAAAGUAUCGGAACGUGCCCAGUCGUGGGGGAUAACGUAGCGAAAGUUACGCUAAUACCGCAUACGAUCUAUGGAUGAAAGCGGGGGAUCGCAAGACCUCGCGCGAUUGGAGCGGCCGAUAUCAGAUUAGGUAGUUGGUGGGGUAAAGGCUCACCAAGCCGACGAUCUGUAACUGGUCUGAGAGGACGACCAGCCACACUGGGACUGAGACACGGCCCAGACUCCUACGGGAGGCAGCAGUGGGGAAUUUUGGACAAUGGGCGAAAGCCUGAUCCAGCCAUGCCGCGUGCAGGAUGAAGGCCUUCGGGUUGUAAACUGCUUUUGUACAGAACGAAAAGGUUUGGCCUAAUAAGCUGAGCUCAUGACGGUACCGUAAGAAUAAGCACCGGCUAACUACGUGCCAGCAGCCGCGGUAA
This 500-nucleotide ribosomal RNA is filed under the name uncultured bacterium. RNAcentral's name for it is "partial 16S ribosomal RNA". It matches the Rfam family "Bacterial small subunit ribosomal RNA", at positions 30 to 523 of the family's 1533-position model. The record is from RNAcentral.